Molecule: ribosomal RNA, 468 nt
Filed under: uncultured bacterium
Lineage: Bacteria
Description: partial 16S ribosomal RNA
Rfam family: Bacterial small subunit ribosomal RNA
Source: RNAcentral
GACGAACGCUGGCGGCGUGCUUAACACAUGCAAGUCGAACGGAAAGGCCCUGCUUUUGUGGGGUGCUCGAGUGGCGAACGGGUGAGUAACACGUGAGUAACCUGCCCUUGACUUUGGGAUAACUUCAGGAAACUGGGGCUAAUACCGGAUAGGAGCUCCUGCUGCAUGGUGGGGGUUGGAAAGUUUCGGCGGUUGGGGAUGGACUCGCGGCUUAUCAGCUUGUUGGUGGGGUAGUGGCUUACCAAGGCUUUGACGGGUAGCCGGCCUGAGAGGGUGAACGGCCAAAUUGGGAAGGAGAUACGGCCCAGACUCCUACGGGAGGCAGGAGUGGGGAAUAUUGCACAAUGGGCGGAAGCCUGAUGCAGAAAAGCCGCGUGCGGGAUGACGGCCUUCGGGUUGUAAACCGAUUUCGCCUGUGACGAAGCGUGAGUGACGGUAAUGGGUAAAGAAGCACCGGCUAACUACGUG